AUUCCUUACUCUACAUGUCAGAGUAUGUUCUCUCUCUCUCUCUACAUCGCUCUCUCCAGGGCUGUCUACCUGCUUACCUGUGUUUAGGUCCUAAUACCGAGGUGGUACCUGGUAGUUUCAGGGCCUUCUACCUGCUACCUGCUCUCUGUGUUCAGGUCCUAAUACGGGGGUGGUACCUGGUAGUUUCAGGGCCUUCUACCUGCUACCUGCUUACCUGUGUUUAGGUCCUAAUACCGAGGUGGUACCUGGUAGUUUCAGGGCCUUCUACCUGCUACCUGCUCUCUGUGUUCAGGUCCUAAUACGGGGGUGGUACCUGGUAGUUUCAGGGCCUUCUACCUGCUACCUGCUCUCUGUGUUUAGGUCCUAAUACCGAGGUGGUACCUGGUAGUUUCAGGGCCUUCUACCUGCUACCUGCUCUCUGUGUUUAGGUCCUAAUACCGAGGUGGUACCUGGUAGUUUCAGGGGCUUCUACCUGCUCUGGAUAACUGUGGCUGCUUCAGGAUGUUGUAUGGUCUUUUUGUAUCUGGGGGACGGCGAACUGGGUUGGGGACGGGGUGGGAUGUGUUUUGGGAUAUAUUAGCGGUGUUUCCGUACAGAGAACUAAUGUUUUUGUUGUGUUUUUAAAAACAUGUGCAGCAGAGAGGUCAUGAAGCUGUUUUCUAUAAACCCACAAUCCUGUUGUAUUUGUUGACAUUGUGUGACUCAAAUGGCACCCUAUUUCCCUAUGUAGUGCACUACUUUUGACAAGGGCCCAUAGGGAAUAGAGUGCACUUUAGGACAGAACCAUAUUGAUGUCACUUCACCUGACUGAUCUGGGAGCCAUGACAACAUAUCAUUGGUUAAAUCAUCACAGUGGAUGGAGUAAGGUCUACUGUCCCUCUCCUGUUCCCUUUAACCAAAAUGGCAAACUAGGGCUUUGAUACAUAAUAAUUAGGGUGCUCCAAUGACAAACAAACGUCUGCUAUGACAUUAUGUUAUAGUAACCUGAAGAGACAGACUUCAUCUCUUUGUUUUCCUUCUCUAGUCUGCUUGGCUCUCAUUCUGUUCUCCUAGAAAACGCUUGAUGUUAACAGCAGGGUUGGGCUCAAUUCCUCUUCACUUCAAUCAGAUCAGGAAGUGGAAUAAUCUCUAAAUCUUCCAUCUCCCUUAGUCGGAUGAAUCUCUUCUGUGCUGUGACUUCUUCAAGGAUCCAGUUGUUUUUUUGAAAACAAUGAACAAUUUUCUAUUCCUGAUUUGAGUUUGAAUCCACCUCCUCCUGAAUUGAUUAAGGCUAAAAUUGACCCCUAACCCUGCUUCACUGAAACAUUUCAUUAGCUCAGCGGGCUAACAGUCCAGUUCAAUACAACUAGGCUGGGUAUUCUUUCUGUGUAUUGUCCAGGACCUUUGUUCAUGCCAACAUCUCAACCACAUUUUGGGAGAAAGAAUGAAUGAAUCGUUCAUUAACAGGUCAGACGUCAUCAGCUGUAUGGAAGUAAUGUCUGUACAUAAACCAACCAGCUCCAUUCAUCAUCUUCAAGCUUAGUGUGAGAUAGAAGAGGGACCCAAAUCGUGUUUUCUCCCCCAAAAAAAUGUUUCAGAACGACGAUACCGUGGAAGAAAAAUGUGCAAAUGUACUUUUUAGAAGCAUGUUCAGUUUUACAGUUUGACAACAUCCUUUGUAUAAAUAUCAGUUAUUAUUGUUGAAAGUGUAAAUGGAAAUACUUGUUUGGAAAAUAAACAAAACAAUGUGUGUUCAUCA
Molecule: non-coding RNA, 1738 nt
Organism: Oncorhynchus mykiss (rainbow trout)
Lineage: Eukaryota; Metazoa; Chordata; Actinopteri; Salmoniformes; Salmonidae
Source: RefSeq, a predicted model, not a curated record